Molecule: RNase P RNA, 302 nt
Filed under: uncultured Fusobacterium sp.
Lineage: Bacteria; Fusobacteriati; Fusobacteriota; Fusobacteriia; Fusobacteriales; Fusobacteriaceae
Description: Bacterial RNase P class A
Rfam family: Bacterial RNase P class A
About the family: Ribonuclease P (RNase P) is a ubiquitous endoribonuclease, found in archaea, bacteria and eukarya as well as chloroplasts and mitochondria. Its best characterised activity is the generation of mature 5'-ends of tRNAs by cleaving the 5'-leader elements of precursor-tRNAs.
Source: RNAcentral
AUUCCAAGAGGAAAGUCCGGGCUCCAUAGAGCAAAGAGGAUAGCUAACGGCUAUUGGAAGUAAUUCUAAGGAAAGUGCAACAGAAAAUAAACCGCCAUUUUGGUAAGGGUGAAAAGGUGGUGUAAGAGACCACCAAAUUUUUAGGAAACUGAAAAUGUUUUGUAAACCCCCUCUGGAGCAAGACUAAGAAAGAAAGGUUAAGGGCUGCUCGUCCAGCUUUCAUGGUAAGUUGCUUGAGCUUAUAAGCGAUUGUAAGACUAGAUAAAUAAUUAACUAAUACAAAACCCGGCUUACGUGAUGCC